ACUCUGGUAACUCAGCGGAUAGAGUGCUUUGUUUCCUAAACAAGAGGUCGGGGGUUCGAAUCCUCCCCAGAGUG
Molecule: non-coding RNA, 74 nt
Organism: Glomus cerebriforme
Lineage: Eukaryota; Fungi; Glomeromycota; Glomeromycetes; Glomerales; Glomeraceae
Source: the annotation of a GenBank genome assembly